Molecule: small nuclear RNA, 270 nt
Filed under: Anolis carolinensis (green anole)
Lineage: Eukaryota; Metazoa; Chordata; Lepidosauria; Squamata; Anolidae
Description: 7SK RNA
Rfam family: 7SK RNA
About the family: 7SK was discovered as an abundant small nuclear RNA in the mid-70s but a possible function has only recently been suggested. Two independent studies have found that 7SK RNA binds the CDK9/cyclin T complex (known as elongation factor P-TEFb). P-TEFb activates transcription by phosphorylating the C-terminal domain of RNA polymerase II.
Source: Rfam by way of RNAcentral
AGAUAAUCUAUCACUUUUGGCUGUGACAUCUGUCACCAAGUUCCAAGUUAUUUGACUGAUCUGGCUGGCUAGGUGGGCAUCCUCUCUCCCCUCCUUGCUCCAUGUAUUCAUCCCAGAUAACAAUCAACCAGAUAGAAUGAAUUGGUCAAGGAUAUACAAUAUUUGUGCUUCCCUGUUAGAACCUCCACAUAAUUUCAAGGUCCUACUACAGUAAUAUAGCAAAUAAACACAGAAGUGUUAGUGGUGGCACUUGACUUCAUCCCUGGUCAU